UGAGAUGGGCCUUAUUGAAACUGUUA
Molecule: non-coding RNA, 26 nt
Filed under: Rattus norvegicus (Norway rat)
Lineage: Eukaryota; Metazoa; Chordata; Mammalia; Rodentia; Muridae
Source: RNAcentral